ACAUUUGGGAUGAGCAAAGAACCAGUCCUAUAUGUUCAAUGACCUGGGGAUUUGACAGUAUCAGUAGUGUUAAAUUUAACCCAAUUGAGACAUUUCUUUUGGGAAGCUGUGCUUCUGACAGGAAUAUAGUACUAUAUGAUAUGAGACAAUCUACUCCUCUGAAAAAGGUUAUCUUAGAUAUGAGAACAAAUAAAAUCUGUUGGAACCCUAUGGAAGCUUUCAUUUUUACUGAAGCAAAUGAAGAUUACAAUUUAUAUACUUUUGAUAUGUGUGCAUUGAACACGCCUGUGAUGGUUCAUAUGGAUCAUGUAUCUGCAGUACUUGAUGUGGAUUAUUCUCCCACUGGGAAGGAGUUUGUGUCUGCUAGUUUUGAUAAAUCUAUUCGAAUCUUUCCUUUGGACAAGAGUCGAAGCAGGGAAGUCUACCACAUAAAAAGAAUGCAACAUGUUAUUUGUGUAAAAUGGACCUCUGACAACAAGUAUAUUAUGUGUGGAUCUGAUGAAAUGAACAUUCGUCUGUGGAAAGCCAAUGCUUCUGAAAAAUUGGGUGUGCUUCCAUCACAAGAGAAAGCACCCAAGAAUUAUAACCAGAAGUUGAAGGAGAAAUUUCGAUAUCAUCCCCAUAUAAAACGUUUAGCUCGUCAUUGACACCUACCAAAAUCUAUCUACAGCUAGAUUCAGGAACAGGGUGUCAUGAAAGAAGUGCAUCGAUGAAAGGAAGUGAACCGUCUUAAACACAGCAAACCUGGAUCUGUACCAGUUGUGUUAGAGAAGAGGAAACACGUAGUGGCAGUUGUGAAAUAAUAUUUGAUAUUCCUAACAAUCCUGAUACAUAAUUAUCGGUUACUUUUGAUUUUGAUAACUCUACAAAUAAAAGUACUAGGUCUGGUUUUAU
RNA transcript from Otolemur garnettii (small-eared galago), 894 nucleotides. It is a transcript of the gene named DDB1- and CUL4-associated factor 13 pseudogene, with no coding region annotated. The record is from RefSeq and is a predicted model, not a curated record. The transcript has a single exon. NCBI's taxonomy places the organism in Eukaryota, Metazoa, Chordata, Mammalia, Primates, Galagidae.